RNAcentral lists this ribosomal RNA (58 nucleotides) under Darksidea sp. RNAcentral's name for it is "partial 5.8S ribosomal RNA". It matches the Rfam family "5.8S ribosomal RNA", at positions 1 to 57 of the family's 154-position model. Rfam says of the family: 5.8S ribosomal RNA (5.8S rRNA) is a component of the large subunit of the eukaryotic ribosome. Lineage: Eukaryota; Fungi; Ascomycota; Dothideomycetes; Pleosporales; Lentitheciaceae. The record is from RNAcentral.
CAACUUUUAACAAUGGAUCUCUUGGUUCUGGCAUCGAUGAAGAACGCAGCGAAAUGCG